AAGAAUUUAGUUAAUUUAUAACAUCAAUUUGUCAAAUUGAAAUAAAUAGCCACCUAUUAGUUUUUA
This 66-nucleotide transfer RNA is filed under the name Autocrates maqueti. Its description in RNAcentral is "tRNA-Asp". The record is from RNAcentral. Lineage: Eukaryota; Metazoa; Arthropoda; Insecta; Coleoptera; Trictenotomidae.